GACGAACGCUGGCGGCGUGCUUAACACAUGCAAGUCGAACGGAAAGGCCCUGCUUUUGUGGGGUGCUCGAGUGGCGAACGGGUGAGUAACACGUGAGUAACCUGCCCUUGACUUUGGGAUAACUUCAGGAAACUGGGGCUAAUACCGGAUAGGAGCUCCUGCUGCAUGGUGGGGGUUGGAAAGUUUCGGCGGUUGGGGAUGGACUCGCGGCUUAUCAGCUUGUUGGUGGGGUAGUGGCUUACCAAGGCUUUGACGGGUAGCCGGCCUGAGAGGGUGACCGGCAGAAUUCGGACUGAGAGCCGGCAACGUGACGUGCGGAGGGCAGAAGUGGGAAGUCUUCCACGAUGGGUGGAGGGCUGAGACAGCAAGGCGGGGGGCGGUAGGAGGGCUUUCGGGUUGUCAACCGUGUUAGCCUGGGAAGAAGCGUGAGUGAGGAUAGUGGGUAAAGCAGCACCGUCUAACGACGUGCCAGCAGCCGAAGUAAACAUCGAAAAGCACACUUCUGAAC
Molecule: ribosomal RNA, 508 nt
Filed under: uncultured bacterium
Lineage: Bacteria
Description: partial 16S ribosomal RNA
Rfam family: Bacterial small subunit ribosomal RNA
Source: RNAcentral